RNAcentral lists this transfer RNA (92 nucleotides) under Komagataeibacter europaeus. Its description in RNAcentral is "tRNA-Met". The record is from RNAcentral. Lineage: Bacteria; Pseudomonadati; Pseudomonadota; Alphaproteobacteria; Acetobacterales; Acetobacteraceae.
UCGCGAUCAGGCGGCGGAUUCCGCGCCAGCAUGGUUUCAUAGGCCAUGGCGGCCUGCGUUACGCUGCCGCCUUCAAACAGGCCGGUCGCGUG